GAUGAAGAACGUAGUGAAAUGCGAUAAGUAGUGUGAAUUGCAGAAUUCAGUGAAUCAUCGAAUCUUUGAACGCACAUUGCGCCCGCUAGUAUUCUGGCGGGCAUGCCUGUCCGAGCGUCAUUUCAACCCUCAAGCCCCCGGGCUUGGUGUUGGGGAUCGGCGAGCCUCCGCGCCCGCCGUCCCCUAAAUCUAGUGGCGGUCUCGCUGUAGCUUCCUCUGCGUAGUAGCACACCUCGCACUGGGAAACAGCGCGGCCACGCCGUUAAACCCCCAACUUCUGAACGUUUGACCUCGGAUCAGGUAGGAAUACCCGCUGAACUUAAGCAUAUCAAUAAGCGGAGGA
Molecule: unclassified non-coding RNA, 343 nt
Filed under: soil metagenome
Description: partial contains 5.8S ribosomal RNA, internal transcribed spacer 2, and large subunit ribosomal RNA
Rfam family: 5.8S ribosomal RNA (bases 1-120)
Source: RNAcentral